Misgurnus anguillicaudatus (oriental weatherfish) is the source of this 333-nucleotide non-coding RNA. NCBI's taxonomy places the organism in Eukaryota, Metazoa, Chordata, Actinopteri, Cypriniformes, Cobitidae. The record is from the annotation of a RefSeq genome assembly.
AUGUCGGCAGUAAGUGUGUCUGCUCCUAAAGUGAUCGUCCUGCCGCCGUCCAGUGAAGAGAUUUCCAGCAAGAAGGCAGCAACAGUGAUGUGUGUGGCCAGCAAUGGUUUCCCUUCAGACUGGAGUCUGAGCUGGAAAGUGAAUGGGAAGAUGUCAGGAUCUCAGGAGAACAGAGCUGGAGUCCUACAGAAAGACGGCGGUCUGUACAGCUGGAGCAGCAGUCUGACUCUCACUGAACAAGAAUGGAUCAACAGAGACUCAGUGAUCUGUGAGAUCAGUCGGGAAGGUCAGACAGUCACUGGAGAAGUGAAGAAAGAUCUGUGUUCUGAGUAG